UUGGAGGGCACGUCUGGUGCCAGCAGCCGCGGUAAUUCCAGCUCCAAUAGCGUAUAUUAAAGUUGUUGCAGUUAAAAAGCUCGUAGUUGAAUUUCGGGAUCAAUUUAUUGGUCGUGCUAUUGUACGUACUGGUAUUAUUGAUUCCUACCUUCUGACAAACCAUGGUGUCAUUAAUUUGGUGUCAUGGGAAAUCAGGACUGUUACUUUGAAAAAAUUAGAGUGUUUAAAGCAGGCUCACGCUUGAAUACAUUAGCAUGGAAUAACGAAAUAGGACGUUUGAUUCUAUUUUGUUGGUUUCUAGGAUCGACGUAAUGAUAAAUAGGGAUAGUUGGGGGCAUUAGUAUUCAAUUGUCAGAGGUGAAAUUCUUGGAUUUAUUGAAGACUAACUACUGCGAAAGCAUUUGCCAAGGAUGUUUUCAUUAAUUAAGAACGAAAGUUAGGGGAUCGAAGACGAUCAGAUACCGUCGUAGUCUUAACCAUAAACUAUGCCGACUAGGGAUCGGAUGAUGUUAUUUUAAUGACUCAUUCGGCGCCUUACGGGAAACCAAAGUGUUUGGGUUC
Molecule: ribosomal RNA, 561 nt
Filed under: uncultured Glomeromycotina
Lineage: Eukaryota; Fungi; Glomeromycota
Description: SSU rRNA
Rfam family: Eukaryotic small subunit ribosomal RNA
Source: RNAcentral